UGCCAGCCGCCGCGGUAAUACGAAUGGGGCAAGCGUUGUUCGGAAUCACUGGGCUUAAAGCGUGCGUAGGCGGAAAUGAAAGUCAGAAGUGAAAUCCCAGGGCUCAACCCUGGAACUGCUUUUGAAACCACAAGUCUUGAGGGGAUCAGAGGAGAGCGGAACUGAUGGUGGAGCGGUGAAAUGCGUUGAUAUCAUCAGGAACACCAGUGGCGAAGGCGGCUCACUGGCUCGAUACUGACGCUGAGGUGCGAAAGCGUGGGGAGCAAACAGGAUUAGAUA
This 279-nucleotide ribosomal RNA is filed under the name uncultured bacterium. RNAcentral's name for it is "partial 16S ribosomal RNA". It matches the Rfam family "Bacterial small subunit ribosomal RNA", at positions 506 to 784 of the family's 1533-position model. The record is from RNAcentral.